Long non-coding RNA from Homo sapiens (human), 593 nucleotides. Ensembl annotates it as long intergenic non-protein coding RNA 2531. NCBI's taxonomy places the organism in Eukaryota, Metazoa, Chordata, Mammalia, Primates, Hominidae. The record is from Ensembl.
GGCACAGGGGCGGUGCCCUUCAGGGAGGCGCGCAGGAGCCCAUCUUGGGGGAGCUGGAGCAUGGCGGGCUGCAGGUCCCAGCCCUACCCCAUGGGGAGGCGGCUGAGGCCCAGCGAGAAUUCGAGCACUGCGCACGAGGGACGGCAGUGCUGGGGGACCGGGCGCCCCCUCCGCAGCUGCUGGCCUGGGUGCUAAGCCCCUCACUGCCCGGGGCUGGCGGCGACGGAGGGCGGCUCCGAGUGAGUGCGGGGCGCGGAGCCCCACGCCCACCCGGAACUCACGCUGGCCCGCGAACGCUGCGCGCAGCCCCAGUUCCCGCCUGCGUCUCUGCCUCCACACCUCCACGUAAGCAGAGGGGGCCAGCUCCAACCUUGGCCAGCCCAGAGAGGGGCGUCCCACAGUGCAGCGGCGGGCUGAAGGGCUCCUCAAGCCUGACCAGAGCGGACGCCGAGGCCGAGGAGGCGCUGAGAAGGAGCGAGGGCCGCCAGCACGUUGUCACCUCUCAAGAGUUCAGAACGACUACAGCCUUGACAUUAACCCUGGAAAUCAGAUUCUGUGCUAAAAUGGGGGUGACCAAGGAACAGAUGUACAAG